GGGUAUAGCCCAAGUGGUAGAGCACAUGCUUAGCAUGCACGAGGUCCUGGGUUCAAUCCCCAGUACCUCCA
This 71-nucleotide transfer RNA is filed under the name Camelus bactrianus (Bactrian camel). It matches the Rfam family "tRNA". Rfam says of the family: Transfer RNA (tRNA) molecules are approximately 80 nucleotides in length. Their secondary structure includes four short double-helical elements and three loops (D, anti-codon, and T loops). Further hydrogen bonds mediate the characteristic L-shaped molecular structure. tRNAs have two regions of fundamental functional importance: the anti-codon, which is responsible for specific mRNA codon recognition, and the 3' end, to which the tRNAs corresponding amino acid is attached (by aminoacyl-tRNA synthetases). tRNAs cope with the degeneracy of the genetic code in two manners: having more than one tRNA (with a specific anti-codon) for a particular amino acid; and 'wobble' base-pairing, i.e. permitting non-standard base-pairing at the 3rd anti-codon position. RNAcentral also lists the same sequence under 2 other names. Lineage: Eukaryota; Metazoa; Chordata; Mammalia; Artiodactyla; Camelidae. The record is from Rfam by way of RNAcentral.